This 119-nucleotide ribosomal RNA is filed under the name Aegilops tauschii subsp. strangulata. Lineage: Eukaryota; Viridiplantae; Streptophyta; Magnoliopsida; Poales; Poaceae. The record is from RNAcentral.
GGAUGCGAUCAUACCAGCACUAAAGCACCGGAUCCCAUCAGAACUCCGUAGUUAAGCGUGCUUGGGCGAGACUAGUACUAGGAUGGGUGACCUCCUGGGAAGUCCUCGUGUUGCACUCC